This 21-nucleotide microRNA is filed under the name Ananas comosus (pineapple). Its description in RNAcentral is "microRNA s0558_c73a". Lineage: Eukaryota; Viridiplantae; Streptophyta; Magnoliopsida; Poales; Bromeliaceae. The record is from RNAcentral.
AGCUCAACGAUAAAGAACAAU